RNAcentral lists this ribosomal RNA (497 nucleotides) under uncultured bacterium. RNAcentral's name for it is "partial 16S ribosomal RNA". It matches the Rfam family "Bacterial small subunit ribosomal RNA", at positions 28 to 507 of the family's 1533-position model. The record is from RNAcentral.
GACGAACGCUGGCGGUGUGCCUAAUACAUGCAAGUAGAACGCUGAAGAGAGGAGCUUGCUCUUCUUGGAUGAGUUGCGAACGGGUGAGUAACGCGUAGGUAACCUGCCUUGUAGCGGGGGAUAACUAUUGGAAACGAUAGCUAAUACCGCAUAACAAUGGAUGACACAUGUCAUUUAUUUGAAAGGGGCAAUUGCUCCACUACAAGAUGGACCUGCGUUGUAUUAGCUAGUAGGUGAGGUAACGGCUCACCUAGGCGACGAUACAUAGCCGACCCGAGAGGGUGAUCGGCCACACUGGGACUGAGACACGGCCCAGACUCCUACGGGAGGCAGCAGUAGGGAAUCUUCGGCAAUGGGGGCAACCCUGACCGAGCAACGCCGCGUGAGUGAAGAAGGUUUUCGGAUCGUAAAGCUCUGUUGUAAGUCAAGAACGAGUGUGAGAGUGGAAAGUUCACACUGUGACGGUAGCUUACCAGAAAGGGACGGCUAACUACGUG